Molecule: ribosomal RNA, 214 nt
Filed under: uncultured bacterium
Lineage: Bacteria
Description: partial 16S ribosomal RNA
Rfam family: Bacterial small subunit ribosomal RNA
Source: RNAcentral
UACGGAGGGUGCGAGCGUUGUCCGGAAUCACUGGGCGUAAAGGGCGCGUAGGUGGCGCGAGUAGUCAACGGUGAAAGCCCCGGGGGCUCAACCCCCGGGGUCGGCCGUCGAUACUCUCGUGCUUGAGCACUGUAGAGGCAGGUGGAAUUCCGGGGUGUAGCGGUGGGAAUGCGUAGAGAUCCGGAAGAACACCGGGUGGCGAAGGCGGGCCUGC